This 497-nucleotide ribosomal RNA is filed under the name uncultured bacterium. RNAcentral describes it as "partial 16S ribosomal RNA". It matches the Rfam family "Bacterial small subunit ribosomal RNA", at positions 28 to 507 of the family's 1533-position model. The record is from RNAcentral.
GAUGAACGCUGGCGGCGUGCCUAAUACAUGCAAGUCGAGCGAACGGACGAGAAGCUUGCUUCUCUGAUGUUAGCGGCGGACGGGUGAGUAACACGUGGAUAACCUACCUAUAAGACUGGGAUAACUUCGGGAAACCGGAGCUAAUACCGGAUAAUAUUUUGAACCGCAUGGUUCAAAAGUGAAAGACGGUCUUGCUGUCACUUAUAGAUGGAUCCGCGCUGCAUUAGCUAGUUGGUAAGGUAACGGCUUACCAAGGCAACGAUGCAUAGCCGACCUGAGAGGGUGAUCGGCCACACUGGAACUGCGACACGGUCCAGACUCCUGCGGGAGGCAGCAGUAGGGAAUCUUCCGCAAUGGGCGAAAGCCUGACGGAGCAACGCCGCGUGAGUGAUGAAGGUCUUCGGAUCGUAAAACUCUGUUAUUAGGGAAGAACAUAUGUGUAAGUAACUGUGCACAUCUUGACGGUACCUAAUCAGAAAGCCACGGCUAACUACGUG